Molecule: ribosomal RNA, 250 nt
Filed under: uncultured bacterium
Lineage: Bacteria
Description: partial 16S ribosomal RNA
Rfam family: Bacterial small subunit ribosomal RNA
Source: RNAcentral
UAGAUACCCUGGUAGUCCACGCUGUAAACGCUGUCGAUUUGGGGGUUGGACUUUAAGUUUGGCGCCCGAAGCUAACGUGAUAAAUCGACCGCCUGGGGAGUACGGCCGCAAGGUUAAAACUCAAAUGAAUUGACGGGGGCCCGCACAAGCGGUGGAGCAUGUGGUUUAAUUCGAUGCAACGCGAAGAACCUUACCUACUCUUGACAUCCAUGGAAUCCUGUAGAGAUACGGGAGUGCCUUCGGGAACCAU